AACGAACGCUGGCGGCGUGUUUAAGACAUGCAAGUCGCACGGGAUAAGACAUGUAGUAAUACUUGCUUUAUUUAGUGGCGCACGGGUGAGUAACACGUGAAUUACAUGGCCUAUAGUGGGGAAUAGCCCAGGGAAACUUGGAUUAAUACCCCAUGGUAUCGAAAGAGUAAAGGUGGCAGCAAGGCCGUCGCUAUAGGAUUGGUUCGCGUCCUAUCAGCUUGUUGGGGAGGUAACGGCUCACCAAGGCAAUGGCGGGUAUCUGGUCUGAGAGGACGAUCAGGCACACUGGAGCUGAGACACGGUCCAGACACCUACGGGUGGCAGCAGUCGAGAAUAAUUCACAAUGGGGGCAACCCUGAUGGUGCAACGCCGCGUGGAGGAUGACGGUCUUCGGAUUGUAAACUCCUGUCAUCUGGGAGAAAGACCUGACGGUAAAUAGCCGGCAGGGUUGAUAGUACCAGAAGAGGAAGGGACGGCUAACUUCGUGCCAGCAGCCGCAGUAA
Molecule: ribosomal RNA, 503 nt
Filed under: uncultured bacterium
Lineage: Bacteria
Description: partial 16S ribosomal RNA
Rfam family: Bacterial small subunit ribosomal RNA
Source: RNAcentral